Galeopterus variegatus (Sunda flying lemur) is the source of this 653-nucleotide long non-coding RNA. RefSeq lists it as uncharacterized. Lineage: Eukaryota; Metazoa; Chordata; Mammalia; Dermoptera; Cynocephalidae. The record is from RefSeq and is a predicted model, not a curated record. The transcript has 3 exons.
CACCGUCACCCAAGCGGGGCCUCGACUCAUUCCCACGACUUCCCACCGUCCGGACUGGGUCACUGCUUCCUCCGCUUUGGUGAGUUUCCCCAGUUCCGGGGGCAAUUCCUGCCAAGUCGACGCCUGCCGCCUAGACGCUCGCUCUGACAGCGGCUGUGGAGCAGAGAGACAGUGGAAGACAGUGCUGUGGAAGACAGUGUUGUAAUUCUGACUACACCGCGAAGGCGCAGUGCGAGGAGACCUGGCCGAGGACGUCGUGCUGCGCUGGAAACGGCUUCGGAGAACUCAUCGCAGGUUACUGUGUCGAUCAUCCAACCGCUGAAGGGCUGCUCUGUGCCGGGCGCUAAGGCAAAGGCACUGUUACAAACUGCAUCGUCAUUAGCACCCCAUAUGUAUGAACCACAUUUUAAUUUUGCAACAGUCUCUGAUAAGACUGGAAAUCUACAGAGAAGUUAUGUUGCUGCACAGAAGUCUGAAGCAGCAUUUCCAGAUCAUGUGGAUACACAACAUUUAAUGAAGCAAUUAAAGCAGCAUUUUGCUAUGCUUUGAUCAUUUUUUAGACCAAAUAUGUACCUAUGAAAAGGCAUUAUACUGGGGGAAAAAAGUAGUGUGUGUGUGUGUGUGUGUGUGUGUGUGUGUGUGUGUGUAUAUGU